UAAAUGUAUUAAAAUUCAUUGAGUAAUUAAAAAAAUAAAAUUAUCUUAAAAAAGGAAAAAAAUUAAAUAAGUAUUUAAAAAUGAAAGAAAAAAAUUUACUAUCUCAGAUUCACUGGGGGUUGGAAAUUUUCACAGGUUUGCAAGAGAUAACUGUUAAAGUGAAAAUAACUUUGAGAAAAAAAAAAUUUCAUAAGCUAACUAUCCUCAAACAUGGCAAUGGGACCAUCUGGAGAGGUUUUUUUCCACCUACUAAGUCAGAAUCUCUGGAUUGAGACCUGGACUUUCCUAUUUUAAUUUCAACUUUCUGGAUGACUCUAUGCCCAAGUUUUGGAACCAGGGGCUUAUCCCAUCCUCAGUUAAUAAUUCAGAGAUUCAUCAACAACUGAGAGAUAAUGAUAAUGAAUGAUACUCUGUGAGAAGGAGAAGGGAAGAGCAAGAAUGGGAAGGCUCUGGAAAUUCCAUGGAAAGGCUUGAAAAGGAACAUGGCUCCUUCUCAAUCUCUUGCUUAGUAGUGACCUCACAAUGGCCAUCUGCAAACAUAAGAUCUUUCAUUAGCUCUUUCAGAGCAGACACCUUAUGGAAAUGUCCUGACCCCUUCUCUUUCUAAUUGUCAGGAAAUAUUACGUAGCAUUUUAUUUUUAUCUUUCUGCUUUCCCCUAAUGUAUAGGAUUAAAAUAGCAGAGUUGGAUGUGAGGGUUGAAAUAAUCUAACAAAUCUAAGGAGACAUCCUCCAAAUGUUUAAAAGACUCCAUCCUCACUUCCAGGCAGGUCUAUGGAACUUCUGGGAAAGGUGCUGGUUCCAGGUAUCAAGACUGAAAGAGGGGCAAUCUGCAGCAUCCUGCAGCUUCCUUUCUCUGUGUGAAUGAGACCUUCAGAUCAGGGGCCUGUUCCUUACAUCUAAUUUCAUCCUUUCUGCUUGAUGUCAGGUCUAUUUUUUCUGGUUUUCUGCCUUCUGGAGAAAUGGAGAACAGCUGGUUGGGGACCUCUUGAUCCCUGAAGGCUGAAGAAUAUCCCCAUUAACAUUCUUUUUUUUUUCAGACUAAAUAACUCUGAUUUCCAUAACCUUUCUUAGGGUCUCAUUUCUUAUUCCUUUAUUUUUAUAGCUCUCUUUUGGAUGUAGUUUCUUAUAACAAGAAACGAUUCAAUGCCAAAUUCAACCAAAGAGUUCUUUUCUGUUUUUUCUAAGAUAUUCUCCAAUUAAAAUGGUCAUCCUCAUUUUUAGAAAACACUGCUGGCAAUGGCUAAUUCAGAUUCAAUUUGUGGUCCACAUGUUCUUGGAUUAUUGGGGAAAGCUACUUGGUGUAGAGAAAACAGCUCUAAGCUAGAAAUCUGGGUAUUUGUAUUUGAGACCAAAUUUUGUCACAAUUUUUUACUUCUUAAAAUGUAUUUGGCUUAUAUAGCUAUGGAGCCAAAUAUCUAUAAAGUGAAUCAGAUGAACUAGUUGACCUUUAAAUUCACUCCCACUAUAAAUUCUUAUUCCUUUUUUCUAAAAUUUUGAUUCAUUUAUAUUUCACAAUAAAGUAACUGGAACUCCCACAACACUUGAUUUGUACAUUUCACAUAAUUGUAUCGCUUUCUGCCUAUAAUAUAAUCUUUAGACCAUAUAAUGCAUGCCACACCUUUCCUACUGCAGUUUAUUUUUAAUCUUCUUAGGUUAGACUCAGUGGAAUAGAAUUUGAUGUGGGCCAAGUCACCAGAAUUCAAAAGAGACGUCACUGACAUUUAUAUUCCCACAGAGAUUGCUUCCAUGACCCAGAGGUUCAGGAGUGACCUGGCCAUUCUAAUAAAAUUCUGCCCACAGAGUGAGGAUAUGUUUUGAGCACCAGUGUCACACGCUAGCCCUCACCCUCCUUGUUUUUAGCUCAUAGUGAAACAAACUGAUGCUGCUUCUGAUGAGUUGGAGGCCAAGGACUCUAAAGAACGGAACAAGAAGCACCCUCUUAUCUGAAGAUGAUACAAUUUUAUUAUCACAGACUAGAAAUGGCCUUCUAAGAAAAUUGUCCUUGUGAUCUGGUUCCUUCCAGAGAGAAUGGUUACGAAUUAACUAUUCUCAGAUCAAGGUCACUAUUUCUGGUAAUCAUCUCCCAAUUUCUUCCAGACUUUUAGCUAGGUACAGAGUCAGUGAAGCAUCUUUCUAUAAGUAUGGUCUCUGGGGUUGCUCUGCCAGAGAUUGAAACUUGGUUCCACCUCACAGGCAUUGAAUGACAUUUAUUUAACAGCUCUUGGCCUCAGUUUGUUCACCUGUAAACUGGAGCUGUUCUUUUCUCACAAGGUUGUUGUGAGGACUGAAUGGAUUUACACAUAAAAUGCUUAAAACGAUGCUCAAUAAAUAUUAACUAUUUAUACAUGGUCACUUCCUGUUUGCCAGAUGAUGUCAUCCAUUACUACACAGUUGUUAAUCUUGCGAGAAAUUCAAAAAAGCUCAAUUACUCAAAGCUAAGGAUUUUGUAGGGAUUAUUACUAUGUAGUUUUUGCUUCGAGUUUUUGAUUGUUGUUGAAUCUUCCAAAUGUUUACUAAUCUACUUGGUUAUGCCUACUUUAAAUGCUCCCAUAUUAAAAUUAUUGUGGCAGUGCUCAGUGGUGUAAACCUUGGGAAUCUCUCAUCUAUUUAUCUCUGAGUCAGUGAACAUCCAAAAUAACCUGAGGAUACUCCUGGCACUGCCUUCCCUUGGCUCACUCAGGCUAACAGGGGUGGUUUUUAGUUUGGCAUAGUCCUUGUCUGGUUCCUAAAUUUUUAUAACAGUGUAUUAAUGCUACCCCUAGAUUGACUGAUUUUUAAAACAUAUGGUUUUGUAAUAAACUUGUAACACUGGAGACCUGCAUUCCAGAUAUUUGUCAAAAGGUAUGAUUUCUAGUAUAUUGCUGCAAGUUAUAAAGAUAUCAAAAGUCCUGCUGAGAAAAAUAAUAUUCAUAGAAGAUUGUGUCUCUUUCCAUUCUCUUAGGUCAGUGGUUUCCCAGAUUUUUAUAUUUCGCAGACUAGUUUUAAAAAAAUUUAUGAUGGUUAGUGACAUAGGUUGCUAACUAAUUUUACCAAGUAAGAAUGUAACAGACAGUCUUCUAGUUUGAAGUUUCAUGGAAAGUUAGUGUUAUAGAAAAUUCACUACUGACUGCACUGUUUUUCAUUUUAUUUAUUUAUUUAUUUUUUAACUGCACUGAUUUUUUUUUUUUUUUUCAUCAUGAACCCAUGGAACUUUCAUCACUGACUACCAGACUGGCACUGGAGAACAAGUAGGUAAUUUACAACUUAUCUCUGGAUGAAACCAGAUCACCAGUGACCUCACCUGGGAUACAUCAUUGCAGGAGCCAUCAAGACCAUGAGUGAAGGAGGAAUUUCAAGUGCUGUAGAAAAGCCAGUAGCAAGACACUGGGGGAGAAGGGCCCUUGAACUAGUGUUUGUCCAACCGCAGAUCCCAAUCUAUUAGGGGGUUGUAAAAUUAGAAGUAUAACUAACUAUUUUACAAAUAAAAAAUUAACUUCUA
Non-coding RNA from Sus scrofa (pig), 3479 nucleotides. The record is from RefSeq and is a predicted model, not a curated record. Lineage: Eukaryota; Metazoa; Chordata; Mammalia; Artiodactyla; Suidae.